RNAcentral lists this ribosomal RNA (406 nucleotides) under uncultured bacterium. RNAcentral describes it as "partial 16S ribosomal RNA". It matches the Rfam family "Bacterial small subunit ribosomal RNA", at positions 28 to 526 of the family's 1533-position model. The record is from RNAcentral.
GAUGAACGCUGACAGAAUGCUUAACACAUCAGCAAUUGAUUGGUGGCGGACGGGUGAGUAACGCGUAAAGAACUUGCCUCACAGGUAGGGACAACAUUUGGAAACGAAUGCUAAUACAUAAUACUGUGAGAGAGCUUUGCGUCCCAUUAGCUAGUUGGAGAGGUAACGGCUCACCAAGGCGAUGAUGGGUAGACGGCCUGUAAGGGUGAUCGGCCACAAGGGGACUGCGACACGGCCGUUACUCCUACGGGAGGCAACAGUGGCGAACAAUGGACAAUGGACCAAACUCUGAGCCAGUAAUUCUGUGUGCACGAUCAAGAUUUCGGAAUGUAAAGUGCUUUCAGUUGGGAAGCGGUACCAACAGAAGAUGCGACGGCUAAAUACGUGCCAGCAGCCGCGGUAAUAC